Small nucleolar RNA from Dioscorea cayenensis subsp. rotundata (Guinea yam), 106 nucleotides. NCBI's taxonomy places the organism in Eukaryota, Viridiplantae, Streptophyta, Magnoliopsida, Dioscoreales, Dioscoreaceae. The record is from RefSeq and is a predicted model, not a curated record.
AACCCAUGUUGAGGACAUUUUCGCAGGAGCUCUUUCAACCUAUCCCAUGUCUCAAAAUGAAACUCCGAUUUCAUUUGAACAAAAGAAGAUAUCUCAUUCCUAGGAG